CGCGCAGGCGGUCUUGUCCUCGGGUGUGAAAGCUCGGGGCUCAACCCCGGAAGUGCACUUGAAACAGCAAGACUUGAAUACGGGAGAGGAGAGAGGAAUUCCUGGUGUAGAGGUGAAAUUCGUAGAUAUCAGGAGGAACACCGAUGGCGAAGGCAUCUCUCUGAACCGAUAUUGACGCUGAGGCGCGAAGGCGUGGGUAGCGAACG
This 206-nucleotide ribosomal RNA is filed under the name uncultured bacterium. RNAcentral describes it as "partial 16S ribosomal RNA". It matches the Rfam family "Bacterial small subunit ribosomal RNA", at positions 568 to 774 of the family's 1533-position model. The record is from RNAcentral.